RNAcentral lists this ribosomal RNA (461 nucleotides) under uncultured Curtobacterium sp. RNAcentral describes it as "bacterial SSU rRNA". It matches the Rfam family "Bacterial small subunit ribosomal RNA", at positions 920 to 1382 of the family's 1533-position model. Lineage: Bacteria; Bacillati; Actinomycetota; Actinomycetes; Micrococcales; Microbacteriaceae. The record is from RNAcentral.
CCCGCACAAGCGGCGGAGCAUGCGGAUUAAUCGAUGCAACGCGAAGAACCUUACCAAGGCUUGACAUACACCGGUAACGCCCAGAGAUGGGUGCCCCUUUGUGGUCGGUGUACAGGUGGUGCAUGGUUGUCGUCAGCUCGUGUCGUGAGAUGUUGGGUUAAGUCCCGCAACGAGCGCAACCCUCGUCCUAUGUUGCCAGCGGGUCAUGCCGGGGACUCAUGGGAGACUGCCGGGGUCAACUCGGAGGAAGGUGGGGAUGACGUCAAAUCAUCAUGCCCCUUAUGUCUUGGGCUUCACGCAUGCUACAAUGGCCGGUACAAAGGGCUGCGAUACCGCGAGGUGGAGCGAAUCCCAGAAAGCCGGUCUCAGUUCGGAUUGGGGUCUGCAACUCGACCCCAUGAAGUCGGAGUCGCUAGUAAUCGCAGAUCAGCAACGCUGCGGUGAAUACGUUCCCGGGCCUU